RNAcentral lists this long non-coding RNA (472 nucleotides) under Cavia porcellus (domestic guinea pig). Its description in RNAcentral is "lncRNA (ENSCPOG00000039532.1)". Lineage: Eukaryota; Metazoa; Chordata; Mammalia; Rodentia; Caviidae. The record is from RNAcentral.
GACUCCUCCCAAGUUGGAGAGUGAUGCUUUCCAAGGUUCGCCUGUUAUCACUGAUGAACUUCCUAUCUAUGGCCUCUGUAAUACUGACAGUGUCCUGAAACAGAAGAUUAUUGAAAGAAAACUAUGGUUAUGCAACUGGAAAAUAGCUUGCAGAUUCCCAAGCUUUCAGGCUACUUUAAAUGCUUCCCAUGGAAUGCAGAAUCCUCCCAAGGUAAGAGUGCAAAAUGCAACUCUGCUAUAUCCAAUGCCUGCCGAUAUAAGAGAGCACUUUAAUGAACUAACUUUGAGAAAAGUGAAGCCAAAAACCAGCUUUACCUCUUAAAUGGUCAGAGUACCCUUUGAGCAUCAGUGUUUGUAAAAGGUCUCAAAACAUCUUUAAAUUAGAGGGACCAUUGGUCUGCUUCAUCUCGAGUCAUCAACAUGGAAGUGCUCAAAUGCUUAGUUCCUUCACUACAAAGGCUGAAGAUCCAGC